GACGAACGCUGGCGGCGUGCUUAACACAUGUCAAGUCGAACGGGGUCCAUCUGGUCGCAAGACCAGAGAAGACCGAGUGGCGAACGGGUGCGUAACACGUGAGAAACCUGUCCCGGUCUCUGGAAUAACAGUCGGAAACGACUGCUAAUACCGGAUGCCGUCGGAGCGUCGCAUGGCGCGCUGACGAAAGGGCUACCGGAUCGGGAGGGUCUCGCGGCCUAUCAGCUUGUUGGUGAGGUAACGGCUCACCAAGGCAUCGACGGGUAGCUGGUCUGAGAGGAUGAUCAGCCACACUGGGACUGAGACACGGCCCAGACUCCUACGGGAGGCAGCAGUGGGGAAUCUUGCACAAUGGGCGAAAGCCUGAUGCAGCAACGCCGCGUGCGGGAUGAAGGCCCUAGGGUUGUAAACCGCUUUCAGCAGGGAAGAAAAUGACGGUACCUGUAGAAG
RNAcentral lists this ribosomal RNA (450 nucleotides) under uncultured bacterium. RNAcentral describes it as "bacterial SSU rRNA". It matches the Rfam family "Bacterial small subunit ribosomal RNA", at positions 28 to 487 of the family's 1533-position model. The record is from RNAcentral.